This 247-nucleotide unclassified non-coding RNA is filed under the name Hevea brasiliensis (rubber tree). The record is from RNAcentral. Lineage: Eukaryota; Viridiplantae; Streptophyta; Magnoliopsida; Malpighiales; Euphorbiaceae.
GGAGGGAGUUUGUGAUCAUCAAGUGCAAAACAAUCCUAGUAGUUGAAUACAUAUCCAACUGAGUCACAAAAUAUUCAUUUUUAGUUAAAUGCCACUAAGUGAAUUAUGGAACUUGCAAAUGAUUUUGUAGGUUUUGAGAAGGAAAAUGUUGCAUGCUUAAAAAGCCCACAGGGCUUUCUCAAUAGGUUUUUUACUUGUAAACAAUUGACACAUUACAUGCCUAAAUUGAUUUACCAGUGACUUUACC